UGGAGAGGUGUCCGAGUGGUUGAAGGAGCACGCCUGGAAAGCGUGUAUAGUUUAACGGCUAUCGAGAGUUCGAAUCUCUUCCUCUCCGCCAU
This 92-nucleotide transfer RNA is filed under the name Francisella tularensis subsp. holarctica OSU18. RNAcentral describes it as "tRNA-Ser". It matches the Rfam family "tRNA". Rfam says of the family: Transfer RNA (tRNA) molecules are approximately 80 nucleotides in length. Their secondary structure includes four short double-helical elements and three loops (D, anti-codon, and T loops). The record is from RNAcentral. Lineage: Bacteria; Pseudomonadati; Pseudomonadota; Gammaproteobacteria; Thiotrichales; Francisellaceae.